UAAUACGUAGGGUGCGAGCGUUAAUCGGAAUUACUGGGCGUAAAGUGUGCGCAGGCGGCCCCGCAAGUCGAGUGUGAAAUCCCCGAGCUUAACUUGGGAAUUGCGCUCGAAACUACGGGGCUUGAGUGUGGCAGAGGGGGGUGGAAUUCCACGUGUAGCGGUGAAAUGCGUAGAGAUGUGGAGGAACACCAAUGGCGAAGGCAGCCCCCUGGGCCAACACUGACGCUCAUGCACGAAAGCGUGGGGAGCAAACAGGAUUAGAUACCCUGGUAGUCCACGCCCUAAACGAUGAUGACUAGUUGUUGGAGGAGUUAAAUCCUUUAGUAACGCAGCUAACGCGCGAAGUCAUCCGCCUGGGGAGUACGGUCGCAAGAUUAAAACUUAAAGGAAUUGACGG
This 397-nucleotide ribosomal RNA is filed under the name uncultured bacterium. RNAcentral's name for it is "bacterial SSU rRNA". It matches the Rfam family "Bacterial small subunit ribosomal RNA", at positions 521 to 916 of the family's 1533-position model. The record is from RNAcentral.